This 326-nucleotide long non-coding RNA is filed under the name Pan troglodytes (chimpanzee). RNAcentral describes it as "long non-coding RNA NONPTRT008422". The record is from RNAcentral. Lineage: Eukaryota; Metazoa; Chordata; Mammalia; Primates; Hominidae.
CGGGCUGCUUUACCCGGCCUGGUUGGGUGCCGCAGCCGCUGGCUGCUGGGGCUGGGGCAGCAGUUGGGUGCAGAUCCCCGAAGCCGCGCUGCUCGUGCUUGCCACCAUCUGCCUCGCGCACGCGCUCACUGUCCUCUCGGGGCAUUGGUCUGUGCACGCGCAUUGCGCGCUCACCUGCACCCCGGAGUACGACCCCAGCAAAGCGACCUUUGUGAAGGUGGUGCCAACCCCCAACAAUGGCUCCACGGAGCUCGUGGCCCUGCACCGCAAUGAGGGGCCUCUGUGGCAAACACACCUUCUACCGCAGGGCGAAGACGGGCUUGAGG